RNAcentral lists this ribosomal RNA (461 nucleotides) under uncultured bacterium. RNAcentral describes it as "bacterial SSU rRNA". It matches the Rfam family "Bacterial small subunit ribosomal RNA", at positions 339 to 791 of the family's 1533-position model. The record is from RNAcentral.
UUACGGGAGGCAGCAGUGAGGAAUUUUGCGCAAUGGCCGCAAGGCUGACGCAGCAACGCCGCGUGGGUGAAGAAGGCCUUCGGGUCGUAAAGCCCUGUCAGGUGGGAAGAAUGUCCCUGACUCUAACAUAGUCGGGGAGUGACGGUACCACCAGAGGAAGCACCGGCUAACUCCGUGCCAGCAGCCGCGGUAAUACGGAGGGUGCAAGCGUUAUUCGGAAUUACUGGGCGUAAAGCGCGUGCAGGCGGGCCAGCAAGUCUGAUGUGAAAGCCCCGGGCUUAACCUGGGAAGUGCAUUGGAAACUGUUGGUCUUGAGUGUUGGAGAGGAAGGGGGAAUUCCCGGUGUAGAGGUGAAAUUCGUAGAGAUCGGGAGGAAUACCAGUGGCGAAGGCGCCCUUCUGGACGACAACUGACGCUGAGACGCGAAAGCGUGGGGAGCAAACAGGAUUAGAUACCCCGGU